RNAcentral lists this ribosomal RNA (253 nucleotides) under uncultured bacterium. RNAcentral's name for it is "partial 16S ribosomal RNA". It matches the Rfam family "Bacterial small subunit ribosomal RNA", at positions 524 to 776 of the family's 1533-position model. The record is from RNAcentral.
UACGAAGGGGGCUAGCGUUGUUCGGAAUUACUGGGCGUAAAGGGCGCGUAGGCGGUGUGUCAAGUCAGGCGUGAAAGCCCCGGGCUCAACCUGGGAACCGCGCUUGAGACUGGCACGCUAGAGUUCGGGAGAGGAUGGUGGAAUUCCCAGUGUAGAGGUGAAAUUCGUAGAUAUUGGGAAGAACACCAGUGGCGAAGGCGAUUCUCUGGACUGUAACUGACGCUGAGGCUCGAAAGCGUGGGGAGCAAACAGG